AGAUUGAACGCUGGCGGCAGGCCUAACACAUGCAAGUCGAGCGGCAGCACGGGUACUUGUACCUGGUGGCGAGCGGCGGACGGGUGAGUAAUGCCUAGGAAUCUGCCUGGUAGUGGGGGAUAACGCUCGGAAACGGACGCUAAUACCGCAUACGUCCUACGGGAGAAAGCAGGGGACCUUCGGGCCUUGCGCUAUCAGAUGAGCCUAGGUCGGAUUAGCUAGUUGGUGAGGUAAUGGCUCACCAAGGCGACGAUCCGUAACUGGUCUGAGAGGAUGAUCAGUCACACUGGAACUGAGACACGGUCCAGACUCCUACGGGAGGCAGCAGUGGGAAUAUUGGACAAUGGGCAAAGCCUGAUCCAGCCAUGCCGCGUGUGUGAAGAAGGUCUUCGGAUUGUAAAGCAACUUUAAGUUGGAGGAAGGCAGUUAACCUAAUACGUAUCUUGUUUGACGUUACGACAGAAUAAGCACGGCUAACUCUGU
RNAcentral lists this ribosomal RNA (483 nucleotides) under uncultured soil bacterium. RNAcentral's name for it is "bacterial SSU rRNA". It matches the Rfam family "Bacterial small subunit ribosomal RNA", at positions 26 to 506 of the family's 1533-position model. The record is from RNAcentral.